AGUGAACGCUGGCGGUAGGCCUAACACAUGCAAGUCGAACGGCAGCACAGUAAGAGCUUGCUCUUACGGGUGGCGAGUGGCGGACGGGUGAGGAAUACAUCGGAAUCUACUUUUUCGUGGGGGAUAACGUAGGGAAACUUACGCUAAUACCUCAUACGACCUACGGGUGAAAGCAGGGGAUCUUCGGACCUUGCGCGAUUGAAUGAGCCGAUGUCGGAUUAGCUAGUUGGCGGGGUAAAGUCCCACCAAGGCGACGAUCCGUAGCUGGUCUGAGAGGAUGAUCAGCCACACUGGAACUGAGACACGGUCCAGACUCCUACGGGAGGCAGCAGUGGGGAAUAUUGGACAAUGGGCGCAAGCCUGAUCCAGCCAUACCGCGUGGGUGAAGAAGGCCUUCGGGUUGUAAAGCCCUUUUGUUGGGAAAGAAAAGCAGCAGGUUAAUACCCCGCUGUUCUGACGGUACCCAAAGAAUAAGCACCGGCUAACUUCGUG
This 492-nucleotide ribosomal RNA is filed under the name uncultured bacterium. RNAcentral describes it as "partial 16S ribosomal RNA". It matches the Rfam family "Bacterial small subunit ribosomal RNA", at positions 29 to 507 of the family's 1533-position model. The record is from RNAcentral.